Bos taurus (domestic cattle) is the source of this 510-nucleotide long non-coding RNA. The record is from Ensembl. NCBI's taxonomy places the organism in Eukaryota, Metazoa, Chordata, Mammalia, Artiodactyla, Bovidae.
GGGGCAUGCUGCUCCAGGAGGGUCCACAUGGGGAAACACCAGGAUUGGUCAGGACCAGAGAGGAAGGGUCUAGCCAUUACUACCUGUGUGUCUUCUCUGGACAGAACACUGUAUUAGAUGCUGGGUCUUCCAUUCCACCCUAUUCUACACAUUUGGCAUUUCCCAGUAAGGCUUGGAGUGUCACGGUCCUUCCCCACAGCCUGGAGGGAUCACAAAUGGAACACCUCCAGUGGCCAUCUUUCCCACCAUGCAGAAAGAGCCUGCCUGGGAGUGAAAUAAUGGAGAAGGAAGCCAGCUCAGAGAGGCAGGAGAGAGCUCAGUGACCAGCAGGAGGUUCCCCCAAGCCUGGACUUUAAGCAAAGUUUCUGAUGUUUAUGACAGGAAGACUCUAAAAUAUACGGCUUAAAAUCAUCUUUCCCCUCCUUGUUACGCACAGCUCUUCCAUAUUUGGGGCCAAGGCUUUAUAAACACAGGCUGGUACAACGUCGGGGCACUGAAAUAAUAAACAAA